GCUCAGGGAUCGGUUCAGUGGCGAUCACUCGAUAAUUUAAUUUCAGCGGACGAUAGGCGCAAGGCUUAUCCGAAAGGACAGCACGCUCGAAAUAUCGCACGUGAUACAAACUGAAAUAAUUCUUGAUUACAUUUGAUUUGAUAACAAGUUGGAAGAUUUAUCUGUGAGGGAGUUUACCGCUGUACAAUACGAAAAGAUAUUAACAUCCUCUGUAUACCUCGAUUGUGACAGGCAGAUAACGCGGUAGAUGACACGGCUCGCCCGCCGCCAUUGCCGCAGGGAUUUACAAAAGUGAAACUGAUUCUCGGCACCUCGCGCCCCUGAUAUAUAAUAGAAGCGCUUUCGUCCAGGACAAAUCGACGAAAUAUUUCCUGUCUAGAUGUAACCACAGAUAAACUUGUAAUACAACAACCAAACAAUGAGUUCUCGUCAUUACGUGUCUCGCAAGAUUGAGUAGUCACGUACUUUCCUUGGUGCGUGUCCACGUGGGAUUCCUCGUUUCCUGUGUCACGCAGAUCAUAAAAUCGGCUUGUUUAUUAGGCAAGAUUAUCGGGAACGAAAACGGAAGAAAGGUGAACGCUAUGGAUUGCCGAUUUGGAAAAGCAUUGACACCUCGAAUGAUCACAGAAAGCCAGAGAGAUAUUCAUGCUGUUAGUAUCAGAGUUGGUUUUACAUAAAAUCUCGGAGACUCGCGGUCACGUAAAUUGCGUUGAUUUCACGACCAGCGUUCGGACAGUCAAUCACUACACGGAGUAUGGUUCCCAUUUCAUAUGUGAACAAUUUCACGCGAGUCCGAGAAUCAAAACCCCAUAUAAUGGCUGUGUUCCAAAAUUCAUUGCCAGCGCCGAAGAUCCACAGUGCACGUAACGUGUACUGUAGAUUUUUAGCGCUGGCAGUGAAUUUUGGGACACAAAAACUGCCAAUGUAGGCAGAUGCGCAGCGUCUUGCAAUGCCUUUGUUUACGGCAUGGGUAACUUUAAGAAAGGUAAAUUAAAAGUUCACAGUCUAUAAUGUAACUAAGUUAAGCUAAAAUUAUUUAACUAGGCACUAC
Molecule: long non-coding RNA, 1051 nt
Organism: Vollenhovia emeryi
Lineage: Eukaryota; Metazoa; Arthropoda; Insecta; Hymenoptera; Formicidae
Exons: 5
Source: RefSeq, a predicted model, not a curated record